This 1554-nucleotide ribosomal RNA is filed under the name Staphylococcus aureus. RNAcentral describes it as "16S ribosomal RNA". It matches the Rfam family "Bacterial small subunit ribosomal RNA". Lineage: Bacteria; Bacillati; Bacillota; Bacilli; Caryophanales; Staphylococcaceae. The record is from RNAcentral.
UUUAUGGAGAGUUUGAUCCUGGCUCAGGAUGAACGCUGGCGGCGUGCCUAAUACAUGCAAGUCGAGCGAACGGACGAGAAGCUUGCUUCUCUGAUGUUAGCGGCGGACGGGUGAGUAACACGUGGAUAACCUACCUAUAAGACUGGGAUAACUUCGGGAAACCGGAGCUAAUACCGGAUAAUAUUUUGAACCGCAUGGUUCAAAAGUGAAAGACGGUCUUGCUGUCACUUAUAGAUGGAUCCGCGCUGCAUUAGCUAGUUGGUAAGGUAACGGCUUACCAAGGCAACGAUGCAUAGCCGACCUGAGAGGGUGAUCGGCCACACUGGAACUGAGACACGGUCCAGACUCCUACGGGAGGCAGCAGUAGGGAAUCUUCCGCAAUGGGCGAAAGCCUGACGGAGCAACGCCGCGUGAGUGAUGAAGGUCUUCGGAUCGUAAAACUCUGUUAUUAGGGAAGAACAUAUGUGUAAGUAACUGUGCACAUCUUGACGGUACCUAAUCAGAAAGCCACGGCUAACUACGUGCCAGCAGCCGCGGUAAUACGUAGGUGGCAAGCGUUAUCCGGAAUUAUUGGGCGUAAAGCGCGCGUAGGCGGUUUUUUAAGUCUGAUGUGAAAGCCCACGGCUCAACCGUGGAGGGUCAUUGGAAACUGGAAAACUUGAGUGCAGAAGAGGAAAGUGGAAUUCCAUGUGUAGCGGUGAAAUGCGCAGAGAUAUGGAGGAACACCAGUGGCGAAGGCGACUUUCUGGUCUGUAACUGACGCUGAUGUGCGAAAGCGUGGGGAUCAAACAGGAUUAGAUACCCUGGUAGUCCACGCCGUAAACGAUGAGUGCUAAGUGUUAGGGGGUUUCCGCCCCUUAGUGCUGCAGCUAACGCAUUAAGCACUCCGCCUGGGGAGUACGACCGCAAGGUUGAAACUCAAAGGAAUUGACGGGGACCCGCACAAGCGGUGGAGCAUGUGGUUUAAUUCGAAGCAACGCGAAGAACCUUACCAAAUCUUGACAUCCUUUGACAACUCUAGAGAUAGAGCCUUCCCCUUCGGGGGACAAAGUGACAGGUGGUGCAUGGUUGUCGUCAGCUCGUGUCGUGAGAUGUUGGGUUAAGUCCCGCAACGAGCGCAACCCUUAAGCUUAGUUGCCAUCAUUAAGUUGGGCACUCUAAGUUGACUGCCGGUGACAAACCGGAGGAAGGUGGGGAUGACGUCAAAUCAUCAUGCCCCUUAUGAUUUGGGCUACACACGUGCUACAAUGGACAAUACAAAGGGCAGCGAAACCGCGAGGUCAAGCAAAUCCCAUAAAGUUGUUCUCAGUUCGGAUUGUAGUCUGCAACUCGACUACAUGAAGCUGGAAUCGCUAGUAAUCGUAGAUCAGCAUGCUACGGUGAAUACGUUCCCGGGUCUUGUACACACCGCCCGUCACACCACGAGAGUUUGUAACACCCGAAGCCGGUGGAGUAACCUUUUAGGAGCUAGCCGUCAAAGGUGGGACAAAUGAUUGGGGUGAAGUCGUAACAAGGUAGCCGUAUCGGAAGGUGCGGCUGGAUCACCUCCUUUCU